CAACUUACACCUUGCAGGGGAAAUACCAUGUCAUAAAAUGGCUUUCCCAGGGAGAGACUCAUCCAUUGUACUUCAGGUCUGCUGCUGAUCCCUGUGAUUUCCCCAAAUGUGGGGAACUCAACUGCAUAAUGUGUGUUAAUGAGAGAUUACAUUUGUGAUAUCUGUUU
Small nuclear RNA from Pogona vitticeps (central bearded dragon), 167 nucleotides. Its record names the gene U1. It matches the Rfam family "U1 spliceosomal RNA". Rfam says of the family: U1 is a small nuclear RNA (snRNA) component of the spliceosome (involved in pre-mRNA splicing). Its 5' end forms complementary base pairs with the 5' splice junction, thus defining the 5' donor site of an intron. There are significant differences in sequence and secondary structure between metazoan and yeast U1 snRNAs, the latter being much longer (568 nucleotides as compared to 164 nucleotides in human). NCBI's taxonomy places the organism in Eukaryota, Metazoa, Chordata, Lepidosauria, Squamata, Agamidae. The record is from Ensembl.